AAGACUCAACACAUCUGUUAUAUGGUAUGAUACAUUGUGAUGGGAUUGGGCAUUUGCUAUGCAUCAAUAGACUUAGAGGGGGUUCUAAGCAUCUUCGCGGCAGAGAGAUCAUGGAUCUUUGGGAUCAGAUUUGCACAAAUCUUCGAACCAGUUACUAUCAAAGAGCUUGAUUACUACACAUAUCCAAUGAUCAACAAUAGACUCAUUGUGCUAUAAAGAUUGUCAGCAAUACAGACUAUAAAAACACAGGCAAAGUAUAUGGGCAAAGUUUCUUGAUGCAAGUUAGAAUCCGGCACCAUGGGCUGAAGAACCAACAACUAAAAUAUUGGCUGAAGAACCUGCAAUAUCAGGAGGUGGGAAUAUUGUGUGGAAUGUGAAGAUUAUCUUGAUGAGUGGGAUAAGCAAGAAUGUUUCAGAGGAG
Rosa chinensis is the source of this 421-nucleotide long non-coding RNA. RefSeq lists it as uncharacterized. The record is from RefSeq and is a predicted model, not a curated record. The transcript has 3 exons. Lineage: Eukaryota; Viridiplantae; Streptophyta; Magnoliopsida; Rosales; Rosaceae.